CCUACGGGAGGCAGCAGUGGGGAAUCUUGCACAAUGGGCGACAGCCUGAUGCAGCAACGCCGCGUGAAGGACGAAGGGUUUCGGCUCGUAAAAUUCUAUCCACAGGGACGAAAGAAUUGACGGUACCUGAAUAAGAAGUCCCGGCUAACUACGUGCCAGCAGCCGCGGUAAUACGUAGGGGGCAAGCGAUAUCUGGAAUUACUGGGUGUAAAGGGUGAGUAGGCGGCAUGUUAAGCCUGAUGUGAAAGCCUUGAGCUUAACCCGAGAAUUGCAGUUGGAACUAUCAAUGGAGAGGACAGGGGAGGAAAGCGGAAUUCCUAGGGUAGCGGUGAAAUGCGUAGAUAUUAGGAAGAACACCAGUGGCGAAGGCGACUUUCUGGACUGAAACUGACGCUGAGGCACGAAAGCGUGGGGAGCGAACAGGAUUAGAUACCCGGGUAGUC
This 443-nucleotide ribosomal RNA is filed under the name uncultured bacterium. Its description in RNAcentral is "partial 16S ribosomal RNA". It matches the Rfam family "Bacterial small subunit ribosomal RNA", at positions 338 to 795 of the family's 1533-position model. The record is from RNAcentral.